CCCGGCCCGCCCCUGAGGCGUCAGCGGAGUGGCUCAGCCGACAGGCCGCGCUUCUGCCAGCGCGCGGGAGCCAGUGAAGCUUAAUGCUGAAAGUUUUGGGUGCUCACGGGUUUAAACGCUCUUCUGAGGAUUUUGGGCACAAUCUAACCGCUUAAGCUCUCUCUCCUCUUUUCCUGUUCUUUAUGCGGUAGACUUCCUACGCCAUGAUUUUACACCGUGAUCACGGGAGGGUGAGGAGUAUGCGCUGCCACCGGGGACAUCUCUCGCACGCCGAAGCAUCAUUCCGGAUCAGUUUUUCUUGGCCCGAUGGGUGCAAGUUCACAGUGGAUUCCAUCUCUGGAUUUUAAAGAACGCCUCCUGCAAUUCCGUCGCCCUGCAAAUCCCCACCUCGAUGUCCUACAACUGUAGGAGUGAAGAGGAAGGACAGCACUUUUCAGACCUGGAGUGGCAGAAACUUCUGGAUGCAGAAGGACACUUCCAUGGAGACCUGUGCAGAACUGAUGCCACAAUUACAAAGGCAUCCAGCCCAGAAGCACUGGUCAUUGCUACAAGCUUCUCUAUGGAUUUCUGCAAGAAACCCCCUUAAUGCUGUCGCAGGUCCGUUGAAACUGGUCUGAUGAGGGUGCAUCGACUAGUGGAGCUUCUGUGAGGUGCCAGCAGCACUGCAAAAGAAAAAAAGUAGUUUGCCCUGGUUACAAGAUUUACAAACUUUCAGAAAGCUUUGCACAUACGGAUUUCCCUACAGGAAAUCAAGGAGAACCACGUUUAUUCUUUGCCCUUUCCCCCUAUGAGUUCCUCAGAGUUCUUCUAUAGGAAAGGGUUGUUUCAGUAGUGCUGAAGGAUUUGACUGAUCAUUGUAGCAGCAUCACCAAAGAUAAUGCCAGCUUGUAUUGAAAAGAAAAUGGCCCAGAAACAUCCACUGGCACAACUGCUCCCACUCAUUUUUUUCUCGUGAGCAGGAAGAAGUCUGCCAGCACUGCUGUUAGCAGUAAUACUGAUAGUGUGUGCAUACUGAGGAUGCGACCCAUUCUUGACGCUGCCUGUGCUUACCUCCUGAGGUCUUACUUAACUAACUUACUGCUACAGCUCUUGAAGCGUACCAUUGGCCAGCUAGACGGUGUAAUCAACGUUCUGUUGAUUACUAAUGACAACUACCAAACAGAUUAAACAUUUACUUUUGCAUUAUUCUCUCAUGUAUAGUAUAAGGAACAUAGGCGCCUGAGUCAGGCAUAUGGAUUCCACUCCAUAGGCUGAAAAUUGAACACCAUCAAGUGCCCAAGUCUUUUGCUGGAUCUAGAUACAAGAUGCUAAGUAGAGAAUAAAACACAGCAAGAUAUAAAGUGAGAUAACUUGCUAUUUAGAAUAUCUUCCUGUUUAAACAUCCGAGCAAACUACCGAUGUAGUUGCCAGACACAGAUGCAGCAAGAUACGUUGUAAAGUCUGGGUGAGAUUAUAAAGACAAUAGUUCUAUAGGCAAAUGAGGCUCUGCUACUGAGAUGAACUUGGUUGUAGAUAAAUACAUGAGAUAUAAUGGAACUACUGAACAAAUAAAGUAAACCUGAAGUGAA
Molecule: long non-coding RNA, 1568 nt
Organism: Aptenodytes forsteri (emperor penguin)
Lineage: Eukaryota; Metazoa; Chordata; Aves; Sphenisciformes; Spheniscidae
Exons: 2
Source: RefSeq, a predicted model, not a curated record